CCUGGCGACGAGUGGCGAACGGUUUAGCAAUGCAUCGGAACGUGACCAACAGUGGGGGAUAGCCCGGCGAAAGCCGGAUUAAUACCGCAUACGACCUGAGGGUGAAAGCGGGGGACCGUAAGGCCUCGCGCUGAUGGAGCGGCCGAUGUCGGAUUAGCUAGUUGGUGGGGUAAAGGCUUACCAAGGCAACGAUCCGUAGCUGGUCUGAGAGGACGACCAGCCACACUGGGACUGAGACACGGCCCAGACUCCUACGGGAGGCAGCAGUGGG
RNAcentral lists this ribosomal RNA (271 nucleotides) under uncultured bacterium. Its description in RNAcentral is "partial 16S ribosomal RNA". It matches the Rfam family "Bacterial small subunit ribosomal RNA", at positions 84 to 358 of the family's 1533-position model. The record is from RNAcentral.